RNAcentral lists this ribosomal RNA (617 nucleotides) under Escherichia coli. RNAcentral describes it as "bacterial SSU rRNA". It matches the Rfam family "Bacterial small subunit ribosomal RNA", at positions 907 to 1524 of the family's 1533-position model. The record is from RNAcentral. RNAcentral also lists the same sequence under 1 other name. Lineage: Bacteria; Pseudomonadati; Pseudomonadota; Gammaproteobacteria; Enterobacterales; Enterobacteriaceae.
GAAUUGACGGGGGCCCGCACAAGCGGUGGAGCAUGUGGUUUAAUUCGAUGCAACGCGAAGAACCUUACCUGGUCUUGACAUCCACGGAAGUUUUCAGAGAUGAGAAUGUGCCUUCGGGAACCGUGAGACAGGUGCUGCAUGGCUGUCGUCAGCUCGUGUUGUGAAAUGUUGGGUUAAGUCCCGCAACGAGCGCAACCCUUAUCCUUUGUUGCCAGCGGUCCGGCCGGGAACUCAAAGGAGACUGCCAGUGAUAAACUGGAGGAAGGUGGGGAUGACGUCAAGUCAUCAUGGCCCUUACGACCAGGGCUACACACGUGCUACAAUGGCGCAUACAAAGAGAAGCGACCUCGCGAGAGCAAGCGGACCUCAUAAAGUGCGUCGUAGUCCGGAUUGGAGUCUGCAACUCGACUCCAUGAAGUCGGAAUCGCUAGUAAUCGUGGAUCAGAAUGCCACGGUGAAUACGUUCCCGGGCCUUGUACACACCGCCCGUCACACCAUGGGAGUGGGUUGCAAAAGAAGUAGGUAGCUUAACCUUCGGGAGGGCGCUUACCACUUUGUGAUUCAUGACUGGGGUGAAGUCGUAACAAGGUAACCGUAGGGGAACCUGCGGUUGGAUC